This 434-nucleotide ribosomal RNA is filed under the name uncultured bacterium. Its description in RNAcentral is "partial 16S ribosomal RNA". It matches the Rfam family "Bacterial small subunit ribosomal RNA", at positions 341 to 792 of the family's 1533-position model. The record is from RNAcentral.
ACGGGAGGCAGCAGUGGGGGAUAUUGCGCAAUGGGGGAAACCCUGAUGCAGCGACGCCGCGUGAGCGAUGAAGUAUUUCGGUAUGUAAAGCUCUAUCAGCAGGGAAGAAAAUGACGGUACCUGACUAAGAAGCUCCGGCUAAAUACGUGCCAGCAGCCGCGGUAAUACGUAUGGAGCAAGCGUUAUCCGGAUUUACUGGGUGUAAAGGGAGCGUAGACGGCGUGGCAAGUCUGAUGUGAAAGCUAUGGGCUCAACCCAUAAACUGCAUUGGAAACUGUCAUGCUAGAGUGUCGGAGAGGUAAGCGGAAUUCCUAGUGUAGCGGUGAAAUGCGUAGAUAUUAGGAGGAACAUCAGUGGCGAAGGCGGCUUACUGGGCUUUAACUGACGCUGAGGCUCGAAAGCGUGGGGAGCAAACAGGAUUAGAUACCCUGGUA